Fomitopsis betulina (razor strop fungus) is the source of this 89-nucleotide non-coding RNA. The record is from the annotation of a GenBank genome assembly. Lineage: Eukaryota; Fungi; Basidiomycota; Agaricomycetes; Polyporales; Fomitopsidaceae.
GGUCUCAUAGCUCAGUGGUUAGAGCAUGCGAUUGCAGUCCUAAGGGGUUAGAUAUCGCAGGGCCGCGUGUUCGAAUCACGCUGGGACCU